Molecule: long non-coding RNA, 179 nt
Organism: Zea mays
Lineage: Eukaryota; Viridiplantae; Streptophyta; Magnoliopsida; Poales; Poaceae
Exons: 3
Source: RefSeq, a predicted model, not a curated record
AGGUGAUCCGAGAGCUCAAGAAGGCUCAUGGACCUGAAUCUGACAUUGAUUUACUUUGUCUUGGACCUUGUAUUGCAACACUGCAGUACCAUUUCUUUGUUGUUUUGAGACAAAUUCUUCAGGGCAGACCAGAAGUAUCAGAAGUACACACUGUUGAGAAGGCUAAGGUUCCCUUGAUG